CUACGGGCGGCUGCAGUGGGGAAUAUUGCACAAUGGGCGCAAGCCUGAUGCAGCCAUGCCGCGUGUAUGAAGAAGGCCUUCGGGUUGUAAAGUACUUUCAGCGGGGAGGAAGGGAGUAAAGUUAAUACCUUUGCUCAUUGACGUUACCCGCAGAAGAAGCACCGGCUAACUCCGUGCCAGCAGCCGCGGUAAUACGGAGGGUGCAAGCGUUAAUCGGAAUUACUGGGCGUAAAGCGCACGCAGGCGGUUUGUUAAGUCAGAUGUGAAAUCCCCGGGCUCAACCUGGGAACUGCAUCUGAUACUGGCAAGCUUGAGUCUCGUAGAGGGGGGUAGAACUCCAGGUGUAGCGGUGAAAUGCGUAGAGAUCUGGAGGAAUACCGGUGGCGAAGGCGGCCCCCUGGACGAAGACUAACACUCAGGUGCGAAAGCGUGGGGAGCAAACAGGAUUAGAUACCCCAGUAGUC
RNAcentral lists this ribosomal RNA (464 nucleotides) under uncultured bacterium. Its description in RNAcentral is "partial 16S ribosomal RNA". It matches the Rfam family "Bacterial small subunit ribosomal RNA", at positions 339 to 795 of the family's 1533-position model. The record is from RNAcentral.